This 228-nucleotide long non-coding RNA is filed under the name Physcomitrium patens. Its description in RNAcentral is "long non-coding RNA (PPAT_LNC006514)". Lineage: Eukaryota; Viridiplantae; Streptophyta; Bryopsida; Funariales; Funariaceae. The record is from RNAcentral.
AAAAAUACCCAAAAAAUACUAAAAAAAAGCUGAAAAACCUCAAGUUGACAAUGUAAGGUAUUCCAACGUUAGGUCUCUCAUUUCACUUCCCUUCACUUCCACUUCAUUCCACCAUCCCCAGGAUCCACUUUGUCUGCUGCCAAUUCUCAUCUCUGUCCCCAACUUGACAGACCCAGCUCUGUUUCCAAUAGAAUAAUAAAAAGAAAGAAAGAAAGAAAGAAAGAAAGA